RNAcentral lists this ribosomal RNA (253 nucleotides) under uncultured bacterium. RNAcentral's name for it is "partial 16S ribosomal RNA". It matches the Rfam family "Bacterial small subunit ribosomal RNA", at positions 524 to 776 of the family's 1533-position model. The record is from RNAcentral.
UACAGAGGUCCCAAGCGUUGUUCGGAUUCACUGGGCGUAAAGGGUGCGUAGGUGGUCGGGUAAGUCUGGUGUGAAAUCUCCGAGCUCAACUCGGAAAUGGCAUUGGAUACUAUUCGGCUAGAGGAUUGGAGGGGGGACUGGAAUACUUGGUGUAGCAGUGAAAUGCGUAGAUAUCAAGUGGAACACCAGUGGCGAAGGCGAGUCUCUGGACAAUUCCUGACACUGAGGCACGAAAGCGUGGGGAGCAAACAGG